GGCGGGCUAGCGUAAUGGUUAACGCGCUAGUUUCCGGGGUGCGGAAAUUUGUUUCAACCAACAAGCUAGAGAUUCUGGGUUCGAGUCCCAGGCUCGUCG
Molecule: transfer RNA, 99 nt
Organism: Plicaturopsis crispa FD-325 SS-3
Lineage: Eukaryota; Fungi; Basidiomycota; Agaricomycetes; Amylocorticiales; Amylocorticiaceae
Rfam family: tRNA
About the family: Transfer RNA (tRNA) molecules are approximately 80 nucleotides in length. Their secondary structure includes four short double-helical elements and three loops (D, anti-codon, and T loops). Further hydrogen bonds mediate the characteristic L-shaped molecular structure. tRNAs have two regions of fundamental functional importance: the anti-codon, which is responsible for specific mRNA codon recognition, and the 3' end, to which the tRNAs corresponding amino acid is attached (by aminoacyl-tRNA synthetases). tRNAs cope with the degeneracy of the genetic code in two manners: having more than one tRNA (with a specific anti-codon) for a particular amino acid; and 'wobble' base-pairing, i.e. permitting non-standard base-pairing at the 3rd anti-codon position.
Source: Rfam